Long non-coding RNA from Conger conger (European conger), 2570 nucleotides. RefSeq lists it as uncharacterized. The transcript has 2 exons. NCBI's taxonomy places the organism in Eukaryota, Metazoa, Chordata, Actinopteri, Anguilliformes, Congridae. The record is from RefSeq and is a predicted model, not a curated record.
GCUCCCCCAGGUAAAGCAGGUGCGGGCCUUGCGGCAGCUCCAGGAGAGGCUGCAGGCUGAGAACCGGGCCCUGGCUCGCGUGGUGACCAGGCUGUCGCAGUCCUGUAGCCGCCUGCUGGCCCCGCCCGCGCCCCUAGACACGCCCCUCCCACUGCCCCGCCCAGACGCUACCGGACUUGAAAUCAGACAACCAGAGACUAAAGGACGAGAACGGCGCCCUGAUCAGAGUGAUUAGCAAACUCUCAAAGUAGAACGCCCCCCCCCCCCCCUCUCCCCCGCUGCCUGUCCGCAGCCACUAACGGUAUUGCACAUUUAGAUAUUAAUUGCAACAGACAUCAGCUGCAAGAAGGCUCUCACAACCAUCCCCCCUGCCCUGCCCCCCCCGCCCUCUCUUAUCGCCGAAACCGCUUCCCUGCAUCGGUCCUCUCUUCGGUUCGCUUCCACGCGGAGAGCGGAGUUUACAGAACAAAGAACGCCCCGCGAUCGACGUGGCCGGACAAGCCUCCGGCGCAUUUACCCAUAAGCCUUAGUUCACACGCGAAAACGCUCUCGUCAGCCUUCACACCCAACAACUUGCCCCACUGAAUUUUUACGUGCCACAAACUCCUUUUUUUCUUUUCUCGUUUCCGUUUUUGUUUUUCUGCACCUGCUUAGAAGUGGUGUUUGCAGUGUUACUGCCUUUAGGCCACACCCCCCCCCCCCCCAUGUCCUUUCUGUGCCAGAAGCCCUGCGCCCGUGGGAACUGUGUCACUUCCUGGAACGCCCGGCAUUGGCACGACGACCGACUCUUCUGCACCUGUGGUCCAGCAAGAAACACACACACACUCUCACACUCUUACACACACACACACACACACACACACACACACUCUCACACUCUUACACACACACACACACACACUCUUACACACACACACACUCGCGCACACACACACUUUCUCUCUCUCACACACACACACACACACACACACACACACACACACAGACUUACACCACCUUCCCAUCUAUAGUUACUUCUUCCCCCGUUGCAGUAAAAUUAGGGGGAGUUUAGGAUUUCACUAUGUGCAAUAUGCAUUUAUUUCUCACAAAAAUGCUUUAAUGAGUCCAUCAAAAGUAUGGUUUCUCUCCUCUGCCCCCACCCCACCUAUUUUUUAAAAGGCUUUUGUUGCAGUGCAGCUGUUGGUUUAUACCAGACAUCGUUCACUUUGUUUUAGCAGGUACUUAGUGAUGCUGUGUGUAUAUAUGUAUUGUUUGAGACCAGCAAAAUGGCAUGAAUUAUGGUCCCGUAUGACCAUGUCUGUUACUAUUAAAAUAUACCAACUCCCGAGGACAGAAGUGUGUUUUAGCUUUUUAUUUCAUCGUUUGAAGACGUCAAACUGCAGUAGAGUCUAUCCAAGGGGGGUGGCUAGCGGUAAUCAAUACCGGUUCAUUUUAAAACGAUAAAAACAACUUUUAAAAAAUGGUUAAAACGACUUCCAAAACAAUAAUAUAAUUGCUUAACGACAUUUCACACAUUGUAAGCAGUACCAUGCAAAGAGUGUUUUUUUUUUGUUUGUUUUUUUGUUUUUCUUUUUUGUUUUUCUUGUUUCCUUUCGUUGGCUUCGGUGUUGGUAGCCGAGGUAACGCAUUGUAAUGAAACCCUACGGUAUGUGUUUUGGAGUGAGUCUGUUAACACUGUCGGUCAGCUCUGCCUGGGCCUAAAACCAAGAGGGCUGUCCAGCUUCGAUUACCAUUUUCAAAAAAGACCAUCGUCGGAACAUUUUACACAUUUCAGUGGCCUUUUAAAUUCGCUGUAGUAAAAAAAAGAAAAAAGAAUCUGGACUUUUAGCAGUUCUUUUUUUUUUUCUUUUUUUAAUUGCCUUCCUGCCAUUUUGUGAAAACACAAGAGUGACUUUGUUACUGGGCUCGCCGUGUUGUGACAACCACUGAGGAGUUGCUUAAAAAGACAAUUGUACAUUGUGAAGCUUGUGUUGGCUAUUGUACCGUGGUCGACUAUUACACGCGUAAAUGUGAAUUUCUGCCCUGAAUAAAAACUGCUGAGCGAGAGGGAGAGAAAGUGGGCCUCGUACUCUGUCAAAUGUUUUAGUUUUCAUCUUUUAUUUUUUAUAUAUUUUUUUAAUUUCACAUUUAGUUUAUUGUGUGUGUGUGUGUGUGUGGGGGGGGGGGGGGGGUGACUUUGUGUGGUUUGAGGCUGGGUACCUACCACCAGGCUGAAGAAUUGUUGAUGAGAAUUGACCAGUUGGACGAAUGCUGAUAUAUUUACAUGGAAGAUGUACUAAUGUUUGAGUGAGUGCAGAGCGGGCCAAAAUGGAUUCCUUUAACUUGUGUGACUGUUUCGCGCUGUGAGCGCGUGCGUGGUCUCGCAUAACUGCUUUAUUUUCUGCUACGGUUUUUGAGUGUUUUAUAUUUAGAUUAUUUAUUCGUAAGACAAUUUAAGUGGCUACAGCUCUAAAAUGAUUUUAUUCCUAGUUCAGAGCACAGCGUGUGUCUUCAUGGAACCAGUUGCUAAACAGUUAUUUUGAAGAAAACAUGUAUUUUGACUUAAACAAAAUAAAAACUGUAUAAAGUUG